This 497-nucleotide ribosomal RNA is filed under the name uncultured bacterium. Its description in RNAcentral is "partial 16S ribosomal RNA". It matches the Rfam family "Bacterial small subunit ribosomal RNA", at positions 28 to 507 of the family's 1533-position model. The record is from RNAcentral.
GAUGAACGCUGGCGGCGUGCCUAAUACAUGCAAGUCGAGCGAACAGACGAGGAGCUUGCUCCUCUGACGUUAGCGGCGGACGGGUGAGUAACACGUGGAUAACCUACCUAUAAGACUGGGAUAACUUCGGGAAACCGGAGCUAAUACCGGAUAAUAUAUUGAACCGCAUGGUUCAAUAGUGAAAGACGGUUUUGCUGUCCCUUAUAGAUGGAUCCGCGCCGCAUUAGCUAGUUGGUAAGGUAACGGCUUACCAAGGCAACGAUGCGUAGCCGACCUGAGAGGUUGAUCGGCCACACUGGAACUGAGACACGGUCCAGACUCCUACGGGAGGCAGCAGUAGGGAAUCUUCCGCAAUGGGCGAAAGCCUGACGGAGCAACGCCGCGUGAGUGAUGAAGGUCUUCGGAUCGUAAAACUCUGUUAUUAGGGAAGAACAAAUGUGUAAGUAACUAUGCACGUCUUGACGGUACCUAAUCAGAAAGCCACGGCUAACUACGUG